Molecule: ribosomal RNA, 555 nt
Filed under: Pantoea agglomerans
Lineage: Bacteria; Pseudomonadati; Pseudomonadota; Gammaproteobacteria; Enterobacterales; Erwiniaceae
Description: bacterial SSU rRNA
Rfam family: Bacterial small subunit ribosomal RNA
Source: RNAcentral
GCAAGGUUAAAACUCAAAUGAAUUGACGGGGGCCCGCACAAGCGGUGGAGCAUGUGGUUUAAUUCGAUGCAACGCGAAGAACCUUACCUACUCUUGACAUCCAGCGAAUUUAGCAGAGAUGCUUUGGUGCCUUCGGGAACGCUGAGACAGGUGCUGCAUGGCUGUCGUCAGCUCGUGUUGUGAAAUGUUGGGUUAAGUCCCGCAACGAGCGCAACCCUUAUCCUUUGUUGCCAGCGAUUCGGUCGGGAACUCAAAGGAGACUGCCGGUGAUAAACCGGAGGAAGGUGGGGAUGACGUCAAGUCAUCAUGGCCCUUACGAGUAGGGCUACACACGUGCUACAAUGGCGCAUACAAAGAGAAGCGACCUCGCGAGAGCAAGCGGACCUCACAAAGUGCGUCGUAGUCCGGAUCGGAGUCUGCAACUCGACUCCGUGAAGUCGGAAUCGCUAGUAAUCGUGGAUCAGAAUGCCACGGUGAAUACGUUCCCGGGCCUUGUACACACCGCCCGUCACACCAUGGGAGUGGGUUGCAAAAGAAGUAGUUAGCUUAACCUUC